AUUAACAGGAUUAGAUACCCUGGUAGUCCAUGCCGUAAACGUUGGGCACUAGGUGUGGGGCUCAUUCUACGAGUUCCGUGCCGCAGCUAACGCAUUAAGUGCCCCGCCUGGGGAGUACGGCCGCAAGGCUAAAACUCAAAGGAAUUGACGGGGGCCCGCACAAGCGGCGGAGCAUGCGGAUUAAUUCGAUGCAACGCGAAGAACCUUACCAAGGCUUGACAUAUACCGAAAACUCAUGGAGACAUGAGGUCCGCAAGGGCGGUAUACAGGUGGUGCAUGGUUGUCGUCAGCUCGUGUCGUGAGAUGUUGGGUUAAGUCCCGCAACGAGCGCAACCCUCGUCUUAUGUUGCCAGCACGUAAUGGUGGGGACUCAUAGGAGACUGCCGGGGUCAACUCGGAGGAAGGUGGGGAUGAGGUCAAAUCAUCAUGCCCCUUAUGUCUUGGGCUUCACGCAUGCUACAAUGGCCGGUACAGAGGGCUGCGAUACCGCAAGGUGGAGCGAAUCCCAAAAAGCCGGUCUCAGUUCGGAUUGGGGUCUGCAACUCGACCCCAUGAAGUCGGAGUCGCUAGUAAUCGCAGAUCAGCAACGCUGCGGUGAAUUCGUUCCCGGGCCUUGUACACACCGCCCGUCAAGUCACGAAAGUCGGUAACACCCGAAGCCGGUGGCCCAACCCUCGUGGAGGGAGCCGUCGAAGGUGGGACUGGCGAUUGGGACUAAGUCGUAAC
Molecule: ribosomal RNA, 726 nt
Filed under: uncultured Cellulomonas sp.
Lineage: Bacteria; Bacillati; Actinomycetota; Actinomycetes; Micrococcales; Cellulomonadaceae
Description: bacterial SSU rRNA
Rfam family: Bacterial small subunit ribosomal RNA
Source: RNAcentral